GAGUUUGAUCGUGGCUCAGAACGAACGCUGGCGGCAGGCUUAACACAUGCAAGUCGAACGCAUCCUUCGGGGUGAGUGGCAGACGGGUGAGUAACGCGUGGGAACGUGCCCUUCAGUUCGGGAUAACCCAGGGAAACUUGGGCUAAUACCGGAUACGUGCGAGAGCAGAAAGAUUUAUCGCUGAAGGAUCGGCCCGCGUCUGAUUAGCUAGUUGGUGAGGUAAUGGCUCACCAAGGCGACGAUCAGUAGCUGGUCUGAGAGGAUGAUCAGCCACAUUGGGACUGAGACACGGCCCAAACUCCUACGGGAGGCAGCAGUGGGGAAUAUUGGACAAUGGGCGCAAGCCUGAUCCAGCCAUGCCGCGUGAGUGAUGAAGGCCUUAGGGUUGUAAAGCUCUUUCGUCCGGGACGAUAAUGACGGUACCGGAAGAAGAAGCCCCGGCUAACUUCGUGACAGCAGCCGCGGUAAG
This 469-nucleotide ribosomal RNA is filed under the name uncultured Alphaproteobacteria bacterium. RNAcentral describes it as "bacterial SSU rRNA". It matches the Rfam family "Bacterial small subunit ribosomal RNA", at positions 9 to 524 of the family's 1533-position model. Lineage: Bacteria; Pseudomonadati; Pseudomonadota; Alphaproteobacteria. The record is from RNAcentral.